This 811-nucleotide long non-coding RNA is filed under the name Homo sapiens (human). RNAcentral's name for it is "CCR5 antisense RNA, transcript variant 3 (CCR5AS)". The record is from RNAcentral. Lineage: Eukaryota; Metazoa; Chordata; Mammalia; Primates; Hominidae.
ACUCUGAGUAGGUAACAGGUACCAGCUACUGUCAGCAGGGAGGAAGGUAUGUGGUGACCACGAGUCCAGACCUGAGGGUCCUGACCCUCUAAUGCGGCCUCUCACCAGUGUUCGCAGAAACCCACCCGCUGAUUCAAUACGGGGACCAGGAACCUGCCAUGACAGUCACGACUCAGUCUGCCUGCACCUACAUGAUUAAAAAGCUUUAUUGCUCACACAAAGCCUGUUUGGUGGUCUCUUCAUAUGGAUGCGCAUAACAUUUGGUGCCGAAGACCCCGGACAGGGUGACUCCUUCGGGAGAUUGGUCCCCUCUCCUCACCCUCACUCCAUGAGAAGAUCCACCUACGACCUCAGGUCCUCAGACCAGCCCAAGGAACAUCUCACCAAUUUCAAACCGGAAGACAGGAAUGUCAGGCCUCUGAGCCCGAGCUAAGCCAUCAUAUCCCCUGUGACCUGCGCUUAUACAUCCAGAUGGCCUGAAGCAACUGAAGAACCACAAAGAAGUGAAAAUACCCAGUUCCUGCCUUAACUGAUGACAUUCCACCAUUGUAAUUUGUUCCUGCCCCACCCUAACUGAUCAGUUGACCUUGUGACAUUCCUUCUCCUGGACAAUAAAUCUCAGGAGCUCCCCACUGAGCACCUUGUGACCCCCGCCUGUACCCGCAAGAGGACAACCCCCUUUAACUGUAAUUUUCCACUACCUACACAAAUCCUAUAAAACCGCCCCAUCCCUAUCUCCCUUUGCUGACUCUUUUUUCAGACUCAGUCUGCCUGCACCCACAUGAUUAAAAAGCUUAAUUGCUCACACAAA